Molecule: unclassified non-coding RNA, 307 nt
Filed under: plant metagenome
Description: partial contains 5.8S ribosomal RNA, internal transcribed spacer 2, and large subunit ribosomal RNA
Rfam family: 5.8S ribosomal RNA (bases 1-105)
Source: RNAcentral
GAAAUGCGAUAAGUAGUGUGAAUUGCAGAAUUUAGCGAAUCAUCGAAUCUUUGAACGCACAUUGCGCCCCUUGGUAUUCCAUGGGGCAUGCCUGUUCGAGCGUCAUUUCAACCCUCAAGCACUGCUUGGUGUUGGGCGUUUGUCCCGCCUACGCGCGUGGACUCGCCUCAAAGUCAUUGGCGGCUGUCCCCCUUCGGCUCGUAAGCGCAGCACAGUCGGCGCCCGGAGCUCUGGUGGGAUGGCGUCCAGCAAGCUAUAUUUUCAGGCUUGACCUCGGAUCAGGUAGGGAUACCCGCUGAACUUAAGC